AUCUGGGCGGCGGAAUUCAGGAUGGCGGGCGCGUCUUCGCGGCGCGUUCGUCGUUUGAUAUUUCCGUCGCCGAUCCAACCUGCAGACGUCGCGACCUGUUCGCGGUCGGUCCCUGCUCGGAGGAGCCGCGUUCGAGUUCGUUGUGCGGCGUGUUUCUGCGCGUCACACGGCGAAGGCGCGGGUCUCUGGCUGGCCGACGGACAGUACGCUAAACGGUGUCCGGUGUCGUCGUCUUGUACGCGCGUGCACCGGUGCCGGUCGGCGACGAAUUCUUCGGGCCUCUUUCCGACCCGUCUUGAAACACGGACCAAGGAGUCUAACAUGCGCGCGAGUCGCGGGGUGUCGAGCGUACCACGGUGCGUUCGUUACGUUGCGAAACCCGUACAUGUCGAAGGCGUAAUGAAAGUAAAUGGGGAAGAUGGUGUUCCGAGUACACGUUCCGCGGUCAUUGGUACCGCGGCCGGACACCCGCAUUCCCGGGGCGUCUCAACGGCCCGUCGCGGAUGCGGACAGUCGUCUCUCGGGGCGGCUGUCGGUCUGCGACGAACCGA
Molecule: ribosomal RNA, 551 nt
Filed under: Neoparlatoria yunnanensis
Lineage: Eukaryota; Metazoa; Arthropoda; Insecta; Hemiptera; Diaspididae
Description: eukaryotic LSU rRNA
Source: RNAcentral